UUUCCGUAGGUGAACCUGCGGAAGGAUCAUUACCGAGUUAGGGUCUCUCAGCCCCGACCUCCCCCGCUGUGUUUUUGUGACCUUUUUGCUUUGGCGGGCCCCCCUCAAUGAGAGGCGGCCGGAAGCUCAACGCUUGGGUCUAGUUCCCGUCAGUCGCCCCCGUAAAUUCUUAAUAAACCUUGCCUCUGGGUUAAUGGAUAUAAUGAAAAAAAACUUUCAACAACGGAUCUCUUGGUUCUG
RNAcentral lists this unclassified non-coding RNA (240 nucleotides) under plant metagenome. RNAcentral's name for it is "partial contains small subunit ribosomal RNA, internal transcribed spacer 1, and 5.8S ribosomal RNA". The record is from RNAcentral.